Molecule: transfer RNA, 75 nt
Filed under: Cyanophora paradoxa
Lineage: Eukaryota; Glaucocystophyceae; Cyanophorales; Cyanophoraceae
Description: tRNA histidine
Rfam family: tRNA
About the family: Transfer RNA (tRNA) molecules are approximately 80 nucleotides in length. Their secondary structure includes four short double-helical elements and three loops (D, anti-codon, and T loops).
Source: RNAcentral
GGCGAUCGUAGCCAAGUGGUUAAGGCAGUGGAUUGUGGUUCCACCACUCGCGGGUUCAAUUCCCGUCGUUCGCCC